Molecule: long non-coding RNA, 380 nt
Organism: Stegodyphus dumicola
Lineage: Eukaryota; Metazoa; Arthropoda; Arachnida; Araneae; Eresidae
Source: RefSeq, a predicted model, not a curated record
ACUAUUCUGGAACUAUAUAUAUCACAACAGUUCUGCGGUACUUUAUAUUCAUACUUCUGUUUCCGUAACUGAGAACAACGGAAAAUCAUAGUAAUGGAAGCUUAUCUAGUUUACCUAAUGGUUUUGCUCGCAUUUCUAGCUAUUUUUGUAGUCGGUUCUGCAGCGGAUACGGGUAUGGCUGGUGCUUGGAGUGAAUCAGGUGCUAAGCAUGCUAAAGAUGCUAUGACUACUGGUGGAGGAUAGAAUCCAAAUCAGACUUCACUCUUUAGCGAAAUCCCCACAAUCCUGGACAUUCGCUAAGAGGCCCUGUUUAACAAACGAUUAUAAAAACGAAAUGCAAAUUUUAUAUCAGAAUUCAAAUAAAGCAAUCAUUAAGUGUA